CCUACGGGAGGCAGCAGUGAGGAAUAUUGGACAAUGGGCGCAAGCCUGAUCCAGCCAUGCCGCGUGCAGGAAGACGGUCCUAUGGAUUGUAAACUGCUUUUGUACAGGAAGAAACACUCCCUCGUGAGGGAGCUUGACGGUACUGUAAGAAUAAGGAUCGGCUAACUCCGUGCCGGCAGCCGCGGUAAUACGGAGGAUCCAAGCGUUAUCCGGAAUCAUUGGGUUUAAAGGGUCCGUAGGCGGUUUAAUAAGUCAGUGGUGAAAUCUGGUCGCUCAACGAUCAAACGGCCAUUGAUACUGUUAGACUUGAAUUAUUAGGAAGUAACUAGAAUAUGUAGUGUAGCGGUGAAAUGCUUAGAUAUUACAUGGAAUACCAAUUGCGAAGGCAGGUUACUACUAAUGGAUUGACGCUGAUGGACGAAAGCGUGGGGAGCGAACAGGAUUAGAUACCCUGGUAGUCCACGCCGUAAACGAUGGAUACUAGCUGUUCGGAGCAAUCUGAGUGGCUAAGCGAAAGUGAUAAGUAUCCCACCUGGGGAGUACGUUCGCAAGAAUGAAACUUAAAGGAAUUGACGG
This 576-nucleotide ribosomal RNA is filed under the name uncultured bacterium. Its description in RNAcentral is "bacterial SSU rRNA". It matches the Rfam family "Bacterial small subunit ribosomal RNA", at positions 338 to 916 of the family's 1533-position model. The record is from RNAcentral.